Long non-coding RNA from Xenopus tropicalis (tropical clawed frog), 565 nucleotides. RefSeq lists it as uncharacterized. The record is from RefSeq and is a predicted model, not a curated record. Lineage: Eukaryota; Metazoa; Chordata; Amphibia; Anura; Pipidae. The transcript has 2 exons.
UGGAACCUGAGUACAGAAAGAUUCAUAUUAGAGGGAAGGAUGAGAAAGAGUACAAUAUAAAAUGCCCCCUUUACUGGUGGCAGAUGCAGACAGCUGUAGGAUUCAUGCACAAUAUUGGCAAAGGCUAAAUCUUCCUUUUCUGAACAGCCUAUAGCACUGAAGACUGUCCCGGAGUCCAAUGAGUGCAUGCUGGGGCUGUUGCAAUCUUUCGAUUUUGAGGUUGUGUCUCCCCUUGCUGCGGGUCUGGGGCAUUGCAGCCGGGCCAUCAAGAGGAAGCAUAUAAAGCACAAGACUGAAUCUGUGGAUAAUUACUUGAACCUACCAGUUCUUUUCGGUCAGGAUGGUGUGAGAGAGCUGAGGGCGUGACAUGGACAUGAUCUGGCUGCGCAGUCUGCUGAUCAGGGAAUGAAAACUGGGAUGCCCUUUGUAUGCCGGCAGGAGGGAGAAGAGAGGGAUUCCACUGGUGCCUGAAAAAUAUACAGCAUGAAAUUUUAAUUUCUACUUUGAACAAAAAAGGGGAAUAUACAUUCACAAAACAACUUCAAAUUAAAGUGGUACAGCCUGG